UAGACCAAAGAGCAGUAAUACCCAUCAUCUGAUUUGCACUCAGAAUUUUAUUUUGGCCU
This 59-nucleotide transfer RNA is filed under the name Physignathus cocincinus. RNAcentral's name for it is "tRNA-Cys". The record is from RNAcentral. Lineage: Eukaryota; Metazoa; Chordata; Lepidosauria; Squamata; Agamidae.